Molecule: non-coding RNA, 162 nt
Organism: Heterocephalus glaber (naked mole-rat)
Lineage: Eukaryota; Metazoa; Chordata; Mammalia; Rodentia; Bathyergidae
Source: Rfam
GUAUUUACCUGGCAGGGGAGAUACUAUGAUCACGAAGAUGGUUUUCCCAGGAUAAGGCUUAUUCAUUGUACUCCAGAUGUGCUGACCCCUGAGAUUUCCCCAAAUGCAGGAAACUCAACUACAUAAUUUGUGGUAGUGAGGGACUGUGUUCCCACUUUUAAA